UACAGAGGGGGCAAGCGUUAUUCGGAAUUAUUGGGCGUAAAGGGCGCGUAGGCGGCCUGGCAAGUGGAAGGUGAAAUCCCUCGGCUUAACCGAGGAACUGCCUUCCAAACUGCUUGGCUUGAGUCCGGGAGAGGUGAGUGGAAUUCCCAGUGUAGCGGUGAAAUGCGUAGAUAUUGGGAGGAACACCAGUGGCGAAGGCGGCUCUCUAGUACGUGACUGACGCUGAGACGCGAAAGCGUGGGGAGCGAACAGG
Molecule: ribosomal RNA, 253 nt
Filed under: uncultured bacterium
Lineage: Bacteria
Description: partial 16S ribosomal RNA
Rfam family: Bacterial small subunit ribosomal RNA
Source: RNAcentral